UGGACGGCGUCAUAUUCAAAGUUCAAACUUGAUGGAACCUAAACAGAAACAUGUGUCUGUACUGCAGUUGAGUCAGUAGGAGAGGAGGGAAGGAUAAUUUAUUUUUAGAAUAGAAUGUGGAAACAGGAUCAACCAUUUAAGUAAAACACUAUCCACAUGCGGAAAUCAUAUCGAUAACUUGAGACCAGAAAAUAUAGCUAGCGUUUUGAGAGAACGUGCCAGUAAUCUGUCGUCUGGGAACAAAUCAAGGAAAUGGGAGAUUCGGGCACACAAACGCGUUCAGAUGAGCGGUUGACAGCUGAGGAGAUGGAUGAACAACGCAUCCAGAAUGUAGCCUAUCAAUACCUGUGCCGUUUGGAAGAGGCUAAAAGGUGGAUGGAAUCUUGUCUCCAUGAGGAGCUGCCUGCCCUGACUGAGCUGGAGGAGGGGCUGAGGAACGGGUGCUGCUGGCCAAGCUAGGCCACUGUUUCACCCCCAAGACAGUCCCCCUCAAAAAGAUCUAUGACCUGGACCAGGAAUGCUUUAAGGGUAUGGGAUUGCAGUUCCGCCACACGGACAACAUCUUUAUUAGGCCUCUCCUCACGUAUAACAGUAGCAAUCUUGUUUACUGUUACACCUGAACUGCACCUAACCUGUCCUUGUUGUUUCAGAUGUUCCACCCAGAGACGACUGACAUCUAUCAUAAGAAGAACAUGUCCAGGACUGUGUACUGCAUCCAUGCUCUCAGCCUCUACCUUUUCUGACUAGGUUUGGCCCCUCAGAUCCAUGACCUCUGUGGCAAGGUCAAAUUUACAGAGGAGGAGAUAAACAACAUUAAACGGGAGCUGGACAAAUAUGGCAUCCAGAUGCCAGCCUUUAGCAUGAUUGGGGGAAUCUUAGCCAAUGAAAUAACAGUGGAUGAGGCUGCUGUCCAUGCUGCGGUUAUAGCUAUCAACGAGACGGUGGAGAGGGGGCACGUGGAGGUCAUUGCCCAGGCCCUGUGGAACCCCAGUGCCAUGCUCACCAACCUGCAGGAGCACCUGAUGCCAGUCUACCAGGAGAUGCUGCGCCAGGCAAGGGCACAGAAGGUGGCUCUCGCCUACACCAAGUGUAACGGUUCAGAGGAGAAGGAUAUCUAUGAGGAAUACCUGACCCAAAGUGAGAUUCAAGAGAACAUUGACAAAGUAAAUGUGCGUGUGGCCAUAGAGCAGGUGGACGAGGCCCUGGAUUGUGGGGACUCUGGCCAUCCUGGCAGCCCUCCAGGUCCCCUGUCUUGCCCUGAGGGGCCUCCAGAGAGACCACGGUCCCUGGUACCUGGAGAAACUGGCCACUGACCAUGAACAGAAGGCCCUGGACCUGGGCUGUGUGGACCCUCUGGAGCGAGAUGAGCUGCAGGAGGGGGUGUGUGUGGCUAACGAGGAGGCCCAGAGCAACUAGACAAUGCAGGAAGCUGUAAGGUCCAUCAACGAGGCCCUGCGUCUUGGGGAGCCCAGGCAGACUGUUCGUGCCCUCAUGGACCCUGAUGCCCACCUCCCAGAUGUCUACCCCUUUGCCUCAGCGCUCUACCAGAGUGAACUGGCCCCACUGCAGCGGCAGAGUCCUCAGGAGGAGCUGUACGUAGCAGUGGAGAUGCUCUCGGCGGUGGCUCUCAUCAACCAGGCUGUGGAGGCCAAAGAUGUCGGAGCCUUCUGUGCCACGCUGGUCAGCCCUGAAGCCGGUCUGUCCGAUAUUGACGACAGCCUGGUCCAGAGGUACUUUGAGGAGCUGGGUGAUCAGAGGAGGAAGGCUGGGAGAGCUCUGCUGUCAUGGAACAAUCUCCCGAGAGCACUAAACUCUGUAAACGCAGCAGCAUAGGAAGAGCAUGACCAGAUCCUCGCCAUCGGCCUGAUUAACCAGGCCCUGUGUCGAGGCGACCUUCAGAAGACUCUAGCUGCACUGCUGCUGCCUUCUAGUGGCCUUGAGGAGGUGACGACACUCAAUGCCUGCCGCUACCAUGACGUACUGACCAGAGCCCAGAGGCAGAAGGCUGAGGUAUUGUCCCUGGGCUUGGUGGCCGUGAACCAGGCAGUGAAGGAGGGCAAGGCGUCCCAGACGUGGCAGAAUGUGCUGGAGUGUACCAGGCUGAACUCACCGCCCUAUCUGUGGGAGGUCAGUACCCACUACCACUCGGGGGACAACCGGAGCCCAUGGCUGAAGACCAAGACUGAGGACAGCCCCUACUACUUCCACCUGCACAAGCUGGAGGGCACCUGGGAGAGACCGCAGGGCUUUCUCCAGAGCACAGUGUUCCUGGCCCGUGAAGAAAUACAGGUCAAAAUGACCUGUAAAUUCAGUACAAACAAUCUCACUCUACAGGCGGUGCUGAGCAGUGUGACUGCGGCCCACAGCUGGGAGGUGCAUUGGAAGGCCAGCGAGGGCCUGGUGGUGCAGCUGCAGGCCAGGGCCCAGGGAUUCCUCCUCAGACAGAGGCUGGUCGCCCGUUUGCACUUCCUCAACACCCAGCUACCAGCCAUCAUCACCAUCUCGUCCCAGUGGAGGAGGUUCGUACAGCAGAGAGCCUACAGAAAGAGGCUACAGUAUCUCUACCAGAACUGGAGGGCUGUGGUCAGGGUCCAGGCCAGUGUGAAGAUGUGGAUUGCUCGGAGGAAAUACCUUUCUCGUCGGUGCUUCUUCAGACGUCAAGUGGGCGCCAUUAUAAAGAUCCAGGCAUUCUUCCAAGCCAACAAGGCCCGUGAGGAAUACAGAAUGCUAGUCCACUCUACUACCCCUCCUCUGUCAGUAGAGAGGAAGUUUGCCCACCUGCUGGAGAUGGGUGACAACGACAUCCGCCAGGAGGGGAAGCUGCUGCGUAUGUGGGAGGAGGUGGUGAGGACCAGUCGCUCCAACCGCCAGCUGGAGACUGACCUGGACCUCAAGGUAGGACUGCUGGUCCGCAACCGUGUCACGCUGCAGGAGGUGUUUUCCCACUGCAAGAAGCUGACCAAGAAGAACAAGGAGCAGCUGUCGGACAUGAUGGCUCUGGACAAGAGCAAGGGCCUCAAGGCCCUGAGCAAAGACAAGAGGGAGAGUUUGAUUUGUGGACAUCUGUGGACAUCUGGGUUGUGUUGUGAUCAGAUUGUGGGGAACCUGGUGUACUACCGCUACAUGAACCCAGCCGUGGUGUCUCCGGAUGGUUUUGACGUGGUAGAGUUCUCGGCCGGCUCCUCCCUGCUCCCUGAGCCGCGCCGCAUCCUGGGUUCCAUCGCACACGUCCUGCAGCAUGCCGCCGCACACAAACACUUCCACGGUGACAGCCCUCACCUGCGCGCCCUCAACGACUACAUUACCCUUGACGCACUCCAAGUUCCGUAAGUUCCUGCAUGCUGCGUGUGACGUGCCAGCGCCAGAGGAGCGUUUUAACAUUGAUGAGUACUCUGAGAUGAUCAUCCUCACCAAAUCAACGAUAGUCAUCUCCAUCAGUGAGCUCCUUAACACACAAGUGCUUCUGUUGGAGCACCAGGACUCCCUGUGUCCCGACCAGUCUGGCCCGAUGCUGACUCUGCUGAGAGACCUGGGGAAGGUGACCACUAUCCAUGCUCUGGUUGGUGAGGGGGCUGUGAGCGCCGCGGAGCCCCAGACAGAGCAGACCUUGGCGCAGUACAGUAAGAUGGAGUUGUCCCUCACCAGCAAGUUUGAUGUGUUCAGGGGCUCUGACGACCACCCUGACACCAGGGGGAUUCUCCUCCGUACCAAACAGUUGAUCAUCGACAUGAUCCGAGCCCAGCCUGGAGACACACUGAGUGAGGCCCUGAGAGCUUCCUCCUCUCAGGAUCAGGAGGUGCAGCACGGGUGGAUGACGCACUGCUGCGCCCAAAGUGACGCCCGCACCCCUGAGAAGAUGAAGAGGAACCAGUCGAUCGUUGCCGACGGAAGCGGAAGGUCCAGCGUAGCCUGAGGAGGCUGGAGAGCCUGGGGGUCCUGACCCCACCUGACUCUGAGACACAGAUACUACAGCUCAUAGCCAAGGAUAUCCACCACCAGCGUCUGUACCGGCAGCGUCGUCAGGCUGAGCUGGUCAAGCUGAGACAGACCAUGGUCGGCCUGCACUGCAAGAGCUCCUUCCACAGCAAACAGGUGGACUUCUACAGCCAGUACAUCACCACCUGCCUGGAUAACCUCACCGCCAAACACAGCAAAGGGAAGAAGAGCAAGCAGCCCGCUCUGACCUACACUGCUGCCCGUUUACUUGAGAAAAGAGUCCUGUUGGAGAUCAAGGACCUGCCAGUCACACAGUUUAAGAAUGUCAUCUUUGACUUUGUGCCCGGUGAUGAGGGCGGCACAUUCCAGGUAAAGGCUCGCUUUAUGGGUGUGGACAUGGAGAAGUUCCCCCUCAAAUACCAGGACCUGCUGCAGCUCCAGUACGAGGGAGUGGCGGUGAUGAAGAUGUUCGACAAGGCCAAAGUCAACGUCAACCUGCUAAUCUUCCUUCUCAACAAGAAGUUCUUGGAGAAGUGAGAGGGUUAGAGGAUACUGCCAGAUCACCCACCUCAACACGGGGCCAAAUGCUAUUAUAAACUCAUACACUUUACUAUUUCUGUACUUUGGCUACUUUUUGUAAAUGCCCCAAUGAACAGAUUUAGUUUAUAUCUAACUACAUUUAUCAAAUCAGUUAAUUUAGUGAUCUUAUUCAAACAGGAAAUUCACAAAACGUGGUCAGUAAGGAUGAAGGUUGCUCAUGUAAUAUUUUUUUUACUUGUGUGAAUUGGAAAUGUGUUUUUGCGUAUCCCAACUCCUUCUGAGACACCCUCAGAGAGUUGGGGUCAGAGCCAGCCAGGGGCAGACAUUAUUAAUGGCCUACCGGGAGCAAUUGGGGUUAAGAUUCUUGCCAAAGGGCAUUAGACAGAUUUUUCACCUGGUCAGCUGCGGGAUUUGACCCGGCCACCUUUCGGGUAUACUGGCCCAACACCACUGUCUUACGUCAGAUCGUGUCACUCUUACGCAACGUUUGUCCCUGAUCCUCAAAUCAGUGCAAUCUGACGUGAGACAACACUAACCUUGAGGUUACCUGCUGCCCAACUAUUUCCCAUUAGCGAUGUUGUUCCUCAUUUUGCUUGUAGUGAUGACAGGGCUAUAGAAUGCCUGAAUUUGUAUUAAUCUCACCCUCCCAGAUUUACCUUUUUUUUUCCUUUUAUCUUGAAAAUAUUAGAGCAGCUUUACUUUAAGGGAUUUUAAUCAAUAAGAAUGUGCAAUCGUAUUUACAUAAAAACAUAUUGUAUCUCUAGUGGCGCUAUCUGUACAAACGGCUUCAUCUGUUAUCAUUUAUUUAAUCCUCUGUUAUACGACUGUAUCCUAAUCGUAUUUUCAGCCGGCUGAUUUCGCCACCUUCCUCCCUUUUCAAAAACUCACUGAGCAACUUCUCAUACAUUAUGGAUGGUUUUGUGUUUAAAUAGAAACACUCCAGUUUGCCACAUAGCAGCCUACACAAUCGUCUAGUAUUUUGUGCACUACUUAAAAUGGGCACAGGACCGCUGCUAAGCUACAUUUGCCUCCCGCUCCACAUACAUAUGCUCUUAGGGGAUUUUAUGUUGUGCGACUUAAUGUUUCAACUGCCACUUUCAUUGGCCUAGCAACAGGAACUGGUACUGUAACAUGUGCCUUGAGACUUCCUGUGAUUAUGGCUUAUUGUUUCCCUGAUGUGUAGGUUACUGACAGGUCUUGCCACAUUGUAAGGAAUUUGUGUAUUUGACUGUAAAGACAGAUGAUAUUGCAAUGAGGGUGAUUCCAUUAGCUAGGCUUCUGUCAGCUGGAGAUGUGGUUGAGCCUUGUGGUCCAACCUUUGACCUCUAACCUAAGAGGCUUGACCUUUUUGUUAGUCUGGGCUUCACUUUUGUUCAAAUUUAUGUACAUAUUUUCUGUCAUUUUAAUUGUUUCUCUUCGUAUUUUCAUCUGUCAUUCCGCUACCCUUAUGUCAGUCUUGAUUUGUUUUAUUAUUUUUCUUUUCAAGACUAACAUGUUCAGGCCAGUCACAAUUUCCACAAUCUGUUGCUAAAUAUGAAUGUGGACCAACAUGACAAUACAACAGUUAUUUCUUUACAUAUCAGUGCUGUAGCUCUAAAGGAAAUUGGUUGAUUAAUCUAACCAGACAAUAGACCAACUGCCUGAUAAAUUGUCCUAAUGAAUCUUGCUAUGCAAUGGAAACUGAUAAUACUCCUGUUUUUUACUUUUAUAUUUAAAUAAAAAUGUAAUUUCUGUCA
Non-coding RNA from Salmo salar (Atlantic salmon), 6212 nucleotides. NCBI's taxonomy places the organism in Eukaryota, Metazoa, Chordata, Actinopteri, Salmoniformes, Salmonidae. The record is from RefSeq and is a predicted model, not a curated record.